CAAUUCGUAUGCUCGCAUAUGGU
RNAcentral lists this small nuclear RNA (23 nucleotides) under Arabidopsis thaliana (thale cress). RNAcentral's name for it is "snRNA_09536". The record is from RNAcentral. Lineage: Eukaryota; Viridiplantae; Streptophyta; Magnoliopsida; Brassicales; Brassicaceae.